RNAcentral lists this ribosomal RNA (270 nucleotides) under uncultured bacterium. Its description in RNAcentral is "partial 16S ribosomal RNA". It matches the Rfam family "Bacterial small subunit ribosomal RNA", at positions 32 to 310 of the family's 1533-position model. The record is from RNAcentral.
AAUCAACGCUGGCGGCGCGCUUAACACAUGCAAGUCGAACGAGAAAGCAGGGGCAACCUUGCGAGUAAAGUGGCGUACGGGUGAGUAACACGUGGAUCAUCUACCCUUUAGUGGGGAAUAACCCUGGGAAACCGGGGCUAAUACCGCAUAAUCCCGAGAGGGGAAAGCAGCAAUGCGCUGAUGGAGGAGUCCGCGGCCGAUUAGCUAGUUGGUGAGGUAAAAGCCCACCAAGGCAAAGAUCGGUAGCCGGCCUGAGAGGGCACACGGCCA